GCAUGGCCUUUUGUGACCUAACCUCGGAAGUCUGGCAGUGUCAUCCCUCUGUAUUCCAUUUGUUGUAAUAGUCACUAAGGCCAGGCCAGAUUUCAAGGGUGGCACACAGAUGCCACCUCUUAAUGGGGAUGUGUCCAAGAAUUUGUAGACAUAUUUGAAACCACCACAGUUUGGGAGAAAGCAGAGCUUGCUAGUUGUCUAACUACGUUCCAUUUUUACCUUCCUAGUAACAGAAUCCCUAUGUUAUCAGUUAACUCAGAUUUUUUAAAAUCUACUUUUCCUGGCCUCCAUAAAAGAUGUGUGUCCAAUGAGAAGAAAGGAGAAGUCAUUGGAUGAGCCUUUGGGAAAGUUAUUUUAUAAACUUUAAAGAAUCUUCAUAGGAUAGUAUACUCUUCUAGAAAGUGUCUCUUUCCCCUUCUCCUCUUCUUUAUUCUCCCUGCCUGGAAUGCAGAUGAUAGAGUUGGAGCUCCAGUAGCCAUCUUGAGACCAUGAGGCAAUCCUGAGAAGGAAAGCUACACAUUAAGGAUGAGGGAGCAGAAAAAUUAAAGAAUACCAGGUCCUGGGAGACAUUGUGGAGCCAACAUGCCUACCCUGCCUUUUGAAUGUCAAGUUAUAAGACAGUAAAAUACAUGUCUAUUAUAUUUGGUGGUGUCUGUCACCAAAAUCAAUCCCUAACUGACACAAGCGAUCAGAAAGAGUUAGAUCAGAAAGGAGGAAAUGUAAUUUUUUUUGGUAAAGUAAUAAUUGCACAAGCAUUUGCUAAAAUGAGAAGGAGGUUGCCAGAUAAAGUAAGGAAAGACCUUUCAUGCAGAGGGAACAGUAUGGUUAAAAUAUCAAGGAAACCACUUGAUCACUUUCUCCUGAAAAAAUAACAUAUAUUAGAGUGGCUUGGUGAGGUUACUUCAAAUUAUAUUUGAUGAUUCCAGAGGAAGAAAUAGUAGAACUUCAGGUAUGCUGAGAAAGGCAUCUACCAGCAAAUUCGCCAAUGUGCCUGGGUCUGUGCUGUCAGACAGCUCUCCACAGUUAAAUGAAUGAUUGCAGCAACAUCUUUUUCAAAAGUCGACAUACCCGGGGAUAAUACAGACCCAGAAAAGUCAUUUCCUCUGGAAAGAGUUCAAGGAGAUUGGAGGCUGACUGUGGUGAUGAACUGAUCUAUAAUUGUGACAGGCUAAUAUUGUCCCUGGGUGCUGCAACAGGCUUCAAGCAUGAAAGAGCUCAGGAAACAAUCUCUUUAAAAAAGAUGAAGCACAGAUAAUGGUUUUAUUUUGUCUGAACCAAAUAGGAAAUCACAUGCUAAACCCUUUCAAUCACUUUGCAAUGUCAUUACCCCACUCCAUCAACACUGCUCAUAACCUCUGACAGCUACAAGAAGACCUCCAUGAUGGCAUUUAUUUCAGGGAAAUGGAUGUAUCAGCUAUUUGUGUGACCUCGGAGAGGAAACAUUUGCAAGCUGGGAAGUGUCCACAGAAGCCGUUCUUCUUGGUGGCUGUGGAGGAGUGAAGUCGACACUUUGUUGCUGGAAUCGGAUCCUUUUUGAAAAUAGAUGUAUGGAAGAAAAUGCCACCCCACUCUCUCCUUACCACCUCUUCUCUAUUCAAGUUUUCCCUAGCAUCAUGAUAAACAUCUCUCUCGAAAAUAAGCAAACAAAGAAAUGGGGCUGCGUACUCCAUUCUGGAACUUUCA
Molecule: long non-coding RNA, 1683 nt
Organism: Homo sapiens (human)
Lineage: Eukaryota; Metazoa; Chordata; Mammalia; Primates; Hominidae
Exons: 2
Source: RefSeq, a predicted model, not a curated record